This 175-nucleotide ribosomal RNA is filed under the name uncultured bacterium. Its description in RNAcentral is "partial 16S rRNA". It matches the Rfam family "Bacterial small subunit ribosomal RNA", at positions 350 to 522 of the family's 1533-position model. The record is from RNAcentral.
GGCAGUAAGGAAUAUUGGGCAAUGGAGGCAACUCUGACCCAGCCAUGCCGCGUGCAGGAAGACGGCCCUAUGGGUUGUAAACUGCUUUUAAUAGGGAUUAAAGUCGACUACGUGUAGUUGUUUGCAAGUACCUAUAGAAUAAGCAUCGGCUAACUCCGUGCCAGCAGCCCCGGUC